UGGAUACUCAUUUCGGCUAAUUAAAAUGGUCCGAAAAAUGCAGAGACCGUUUAGUUCUUCCCCAAACACAGACCUCAUCUUCUCCGUCUCCUUCAUCCCCAAACCUCCAUGUUCACCGGCAAUCCACCGCCAAUGACCGCCAAAAUAACACCCUUGAAACCCCGUCUCACCCUCAUCCCAAAAAUCCCCUUUAUUCCCCUCGAAUGUUACUGAAGCCUCUCGAAUUUGGAUUUAAAGGGUCCACUUUAGAAAUUCCAAAGCCUAAAUCUAUGACUCUAUAAAUGGUUCUAGACUGUAGUGACCUUUAUUCGUGUGGUUCCAUAAGAAAAUACACGAUUAAGGGUUAGUCCAGUCAGGAAUCUGAAGAAGCUCAUUAAGGAUUGUUCGAGUUGGCUUAGCUUGGUGCUUUAGGUAUUAUGUUUGCCUAUCCUCAUUGUUUCCCAGAUUAGUUCAAUUGUUUGAUUUUGUUUUCUGUUGUUCUUCCUCCAGUUCAUGCUCUGUCUCUGCUUUUCCAUUCUGCCUCGUUGCUUAUGUGUUAAUAUGCUUAAUUAAUAACCUUGAGUUAAUCGUGUUUUUGAUUUUGCUAAAUAAAUAGAAUUAAUUCAUUUUGCGAGUUUUUAAUUGGGCUGUUUCUUUUGGAGGUUAUCCCUUAACUGAUAUUGGAUUGAGUCAGAAUCUGAAAUCGAUUGUCUAUUUUGGAUUGGUCUAGAAUUAGUUUGGGGCUCCUUGGGUCAUUUAUGACCCAACUCAAAGGUGCCUUGGUUGAGCCCAAAGCUGUUUGGUUAGCUAAGUAAUAACAGGGGCUUUGGAGGGUAUUAUAGGUAAUCUAACAUGGAUGAAUCUUUUGUAACUAAUUUCAGAAGUUUCUAGUAGGGGUCUUAAGGGGAGUAUCAUAUUUUGGGUGUUUAAACUUGGGUAGAAAGUCAGGAAUUGAGGGUUACCUAAGCAAAAAUGAAAAUACAAAAGGGGGGUAAGGUGUAAAUUGGAAAACCUGAAGGCUGCCCUAUGCUUAAGCUUAUAAACGCAUGCUUUAUUGCCUUGAAAGACAGCCAUCAAGAUUCUAAAAAUCUGAAGGGCAUUAGAGAUACAAAAGAAAAAAACAUAAAAAUCAGUAUUGCUACUAUUCUAUGGAGUUUAAGGCCUAAACUUUGAAAGUUUUUCCAUCUCUAAAUCAAUUUGAAUUUUCUCUUUAUGUCCAAGCUUUGAAAUGGUUUGAAAAAUGAGGUGAUGAUCUUGGAUUUGGAUGGCUCUGAUUGUUUGAAGGUGGUAUUACGUGUUGAGAUUACAUUCCUCUGGGUUUUAGGCUAUUAAGUCUACUGUUCCAUUGGAGUUUUUAAGUAAUCUCCUGGUUUUAUUCACUAAGUCUAGGCUGUGUUGGUUGCUUUUGAUUUCUACGGUUGCUAUUUGAUAUUGCAUCUGUUUGGCUGGUUGUGUUCCUUCUGUUGGCUUUCAUCUUUAUUUGAGCUUACUACUGCUGCUCACUGUUAGCUCCUGGCUCAUUUUUGUUGGUUUUGCUGUUGUAAUCAGGUACAUACUCGAGGUCAUGUCAAUACAGAUUUUACUUGCUUGAAAUGAAAUGGAAUCGAAGUUACUGCUUGAAGAUCUCAUGUCAAUACAACUUUUCCUUGCUUGAAAUGAAAUGGAAUCGAAGUUACUGCUUGAAGAUCUGUUGUUCAUUUUAUUAUGCAAAUGAAUGUUUUGUAUGAUCUAUGUAAUUUCAUAGUGUGACAGAGCAUAAACCUAGGAGUUCUAUGUGUAGCAACGAGGUUUUGGACUGUUAAACUCGACUGAUUUUAUAGCUUUCAUUAAUUCUAUGUGUAGCACUGGUUAUAACUACACCAUUUGGGGUUGUUGAAUUCUGGAUUCUAUAACUUUCAUUAAGCCUUCAUUAUGCAUUUCAAAGUAGUCGAUCUCAGUCCAAAUGGCAAGGAUUUUCAUGAGUAAACACUGUUUGGUUCAUAUGAGCAAUAGAGUACAAUAUUAUCACCAUGCUUAUUUAGUUACAAGGAUUUAUAGAAUCUGACUCUAUAAUAGUUGAAUACACUUUUGCUUGUGAAUCACGAACCAGUUAAUUUAACCUGUUGUUUGGGCCUAUUGUUUGAUGUUAGGCCCAAUAAUUGUUACCCAUUAGAACUCAGGUUUUGAGUUAGGUAGCGGGUUUUAAACUAAAAGGUUCAUCCUUUUGUUUGGACCCGGACUUGAACUUAAGGCUUGGAGUUCGAAUAUAAUUAUUAGAAUCUUU
RNAcentral lists this long non-coding RNA (2242 nucleotides) under Nicotiana benthamiana. Its description in RNAcentral is "long non-coding RNA (NBEN_LNC027803)". The record is from RNAcentral. Lineage: Eukaryota; Viridiplantae; Streptophyta; Magnoliopsida; Solanales; Solanaceae.